RNAcentral lists this ribosomal RNA (253 nucleotides) under uncultured bacterium. RNAcentral's name for it is "partial 16S ribosomal RNA". It matches the Rfam family "Bacterial small subunit ribosomal RNA", at positions 524 to 776 of the family's 1533-position model. The record is from RNAcentral.
UACAGAGGGGGCAAGCGUUGUCCGGAAUUACUGGGCGUACAGCGCGCGCAGGCGGGCCGUGACGUGCCGUGUGACAGCGGUCGGCUUAACCGGCCGAGGCCACGGUAGACGCACGACCUGGAGGCAGGGAGAGGGAUGUGGAAUGCCCGGUGGAGCGGUGAAAUGCGUAGAGAUCGGGCGGAACACCAGUGGCGAAGGCGGCUCGCUGGGCCGGUCCUGACACUGAGGCGCGAAAGCUAGGGGAGCAAACGGG